This 474-nucleotide ribosomal RNA is filed under the name uncultured bacterium. Its description in RNAcentral is "bacterial SSU rRNA". It matches the Rfam family "Bacterial small subunit ribosomal RNA", at positions 8 to 481 of the family's 1533-position model. The record is from RNAcentral.
AGAGUUUGAUCCUGGCUCAGAUUGAACGCUGGCGGUAUGCUUAACACAUGCAAGUCGAACGGUAGCAGGCCUUCGGGCGCUGACGAGUGGCGGACGGGUGAGUAAUGCAUAGGAAUCUGCCGAUUAGUGGGGGAUAACGUGGGGAAACUCACGCUAAUACCGCAUACGCCCUACGGGGGAAAGCUGGGGAUCUUCGGACCUGGCGCUAAUCGAUGAGCCUAUGUUGGAUUAGCUAGUUGGUAGGGUAAAGGCCUACCAAGGCGACGAUCCAUAGCUGGUCUGAGAGGAUGAUCAGCCACACUGGGACUGAGACACGGCCCAGACUCCUACGGGAGGCAGCAGUGGGGAAUAUUGGACAAUGGGCGAAAGCCUGAUCCAGCAAUACCGCGUGUGUGAAGAAGGCCUGAGGGUUGUAAAGCACUUUCAAUAGGAAGGAAUACCUACCGGUUAAUACCCGGUAGACUGACAUACCCA